RNAcentral lists this ribosomal RNA (104 nucleotides) under Corynebacterium falsenii. Lineage: Bacteria; Bacillati; Actinomycetota; Actinomycetes; Mycobacteriales; Corynebacteriaceae. The record is from RNAcentral.
GCGGUAAGGAUCCGCCCGGUCCCUUUCCGAACCCGGUAGCUAAGCUUACCUGCGCUGAUGGUACUGCACCUGGGAGGGUGUGGGAGAGUAAGUCACCGCCGGCC